GGGGAAUUAGUGGAGUGGUACCACGCUGCGAUCGCACCGCAGAGGUCAGGAGUUCGAAUCUCCUAUUCUCCA
This 72-nucleotide transfer RNA is filed under the name Drouetiella hepatica Uher 2000/2452. RNAcentral describes it as "Leptolyngbya sp. Uher 2000/2452 tRNA". It matches the Rfam family "tRNA". Rfam says of the family: Transfer RNA (tRNA) molecules are approximately 80 nucleotides in length. Lineage: Bacteria; Bacillati; Cyanobacteriota; Cyanophyceae; Oculatellales; Oculatellaceae. The record is from Rfam by way of RNAcentral. RNAcentral also lists the same sequence under 5 other names.